CAGCCGCCGCGGUAAUACGAAGGGUGCAAGCGUUACUCGGAAUUACUGGGCGUAAAGCGUGUGUAGGUGGUUGUUUAAGUCUGUCGUGAAAGCCCUGGGCUCAACCUGGGAAUUGCGAUGGAUACUGGGCGACUAGAGUGCGGUAGAGGAUAGUGGAAUUUCCGGUGCAGCAGUGAAAUGCGUAGAGAUCGGAAGGAACAUCUGUGGCGAAGGCGACUAUCUGGGCCAACACUGACACUGAGACACGAAAGCGUGGGGAGCAAACAGGAUUAGAUACCCCUGUAGUCCCUGUCUCUUAUAU
Molecule: ribosomal RNA, 301 nt
Filed under: uncultured bacterium
Lineage: Bacteria
Description: partial 16S ribosomal RNA
Rfam family: Bacterial small subunit ribosomal RNA
Source: RNAcentral